AGAUUGAACGCUGGCGGCAUGCCUUACACAUGCAAGUCGAACGGUAACGCGGGGCAACCUGGCGACGAGUGGCGAACGGGUGAGUAAUAUAUCGGAACGUGCCCAGUAGUGGGGGAUAGCCCGGCGAAAGCCGGAUUAAUACCGCAUGAGACCUGAGGGUGAAAGCGGGGGAUCGCAAGACCUCGCGCUAUUGGAGCGGCCGAUAUCAGAUUAGCUAGUUGGUGGGGUAAAGGCCUACCAAGGCAACGAUCUGUAGUUGGUCUGAGAGGACGACCAGCCACACUGGGACUGAGACACGGCCCAGACUCCUACGGGAGGCAGCAGUGGGGAAUUUUGGACAAUGGGCGCAAGCCUGAUCCAGCAAUGCCGCGUGCAGGAAGAAGGCCUUCGGGUUGUAAACUGCUUUUGUCAGGGAAGGAAUCUUCUGGGUUAAUACCUCGGGAGGAUGACGGUACCUGAAGAAUAAGCACCGGCUAACUACGUGCCAGCAGCCGCGGUAAUACGUAGGGUGCGAGCGUUAAUCGGAAUUACUGGGCGUAAAGCGUGCGCAGGCGGCUUUGCAAGACAGAUGUGAAAUCCCCGGGCUCAACCUGGGAACUGCAUUUGUGACUGCAAGGCUAGAGUACGGCAGAGGGGGAUGGAAUUCCGCGUGUAGCAGUGAAAUGCGUAGAUAUGCGGAGGAACACCAAUGGCGAAGGCAAUCCCCUGGGCCUGUACUGACGCUCAUGCACGAAGCGUGGGGAGCAAACAGG
RNAcentral lists this ribosomal RNA (752 nucleotides) under uncultured Aquabacterium sp. Its description in RNAcentral is "bacterial SSU rRNA". It matches the Rfam family "Bacterial small subunit ribosomal RNA", at positions 26 to 776 of the family's 1533-position model. The record is from RNAcentral. Lineage: Bacteria; Pseudomonadati; Pseudomonadota; Betaproteobacteria; Burkholderiales; Sphaerotilaceae.